RNAcentral lists this ribosomal RNA (1546 nucleotides) under Escherichia coli. Its description in RNAcentral is "partial 23S ribosomal RNA". It matches the Rfam family "Bacterial large subunit ribosomal RNA", at positions 323 to 1858 of the family's 2925-position model. The record is from RNAcentral. Lineage: Bacteria; Pseudomonadati; Pseudomonadota; Gammaproteobacteria; Enterobacterales; Enterobacteriaceae.
UGUGUGUUAGUGGAAGCGUCUGGAAAGGCGCGCGAUACAGGGUGACAGCCCCGUACACAAAAAUGCACAUGCUGUGAGCUCGAUGAGUAGGGCGGGACACGUGGUAUCCUGUCUGAAUAUGGGGGGACCAUCCUCCAAGGCUAAAUACUCCUGACUGACCGAUAGUGAACCAGUACCGUGAGGGAAAGGCGAAAAGAACCCCGGCGAGGGGAGUGAAAAAGAACCUGAAACCGUGUACGUACAAGCAGUGGGAGCACGCUUAGGCGUGUGACUGCGUACCUUUUGUAUAAUGGGUCAGCGACUUAUAUUCUGUAGCAAGGUUAACCGAAUAGGGGAGCCGAAGGGAAACCGAGUCUUAACUGGGCGUUAAGUUGCAGGGUAUAGACCCGAAACCCGGUGAUCUAGCCAUGGGCAGGUUGAAGGUUGGGUAACACUAACUGGAGGACCGAACCGACUAAUGUUGAAAAAUUAGCGGAUGACUUGUGGCUGGGGGUGAAAGGCCAAUCAAACCGGGAGAUAGCUGGUUCUCCCCGAAAGCUAUUUAGGUAGCGCCUCGUGAAUUCAUCUCCGGGGGUAGAGCACUGUUUCGGCAAGGGGGUCAUCCCGACUUACCAACCCGAUGCAAACUGCGAAUACCGGAGAAUGUUAUCACGGGAGACACACGGCGGGUGCUAACGUCCGUCGUGAAGAGGGAAACAACCCAGACCGCCAGCUAAGGUCCCAAAGUCAUGGUUAAGUGGGAAACGAUGUGGGAAGGCCCAGACAGCCAGGAUGUUGGCUUAGAAGCAGCCAUCAUUUAAAGAAAGCGUAAUAGCUCACUGGUCGAGUCGGCCUGCGCGGAAGAUGUAACGGGGCUAAACCAUGCACCGAAGCUGCGGCAGCGACACUAUGUGUUGUUGGGUAGGGGAGCGUUCUGUAAGCCUGUGAAGGUGUGCUGUGAGGCAUGCUGGAGGUAUCAGAAGUGCGAAUGCUGACAUAAGUAACGAUAAAGCGGGUGAAAAGCCCGCUCGCCGGAAGACCAAGGGUUCCUGUCCAACGUUAAUCGGGGCAGGGUGAGUCGACCCCUAAGGCGAGGCCGAAAGGCGUAGUCGAUGGGAAACAGGUUAAUAUUCCUGUACUUGGUGUUACUGCGAAGGGGGGACGGAGAAGGCUAUGUUGGCCGGGCGACGGUUGUCCCGGUUUAAGCGUGUAGGCUGGUUUUCCAGGCAAAUCCGGAAAAUCAAGGCUGAGGCGUGAUGACGAGGCACUACGGUGCUGAAGCAACAAAUGCCCUGCUUCCAGGAAAAGCCUCUAAGCAUCAGGUAACAUCAAAUCGUACCCCAAACCGACACAGGUGGUCAGGUAGAGAAUACCAAGGCGCUUGAGAGAACUCGGGUGAAGGAACUAGGCAAAAUGGUGCCGUAACUUCGGGAGAAGGCACGCUGAUAUGUAGGUGAAGUCCCUCGCGGAUGGCGCUGAAAUCAGUCGAAGAUACCAGCUGGCUGCAACUGUUUAUUAAAAACACAGCACUGUGCAAACACGAAAGUGGACGUAUACGGUGUGACGC